Molecule: long non-coding RNA, 545 nt
Organism: Bos taurus (domestic cattle)
Lineage: Eukaryota; Metazoa; Chordata; Mammalia; Artiodactyla; Bovidae
Source: Ensembl
AUUCAUAACUCUGUGUUUCAAUGGAGUUAACACCAGGAAGCCUUCUCUGACCUCCCCUUGCCUUCCACUCAACCACUGCCCUGGAUGGAUGAGAAAAGUGAGUCUCAGAGAGGCUGCCACUUGCCUGAAGUCAUUCAGCCAGGGAGUAACUUGUUUGCCACUGGAAAUAAGUCAUCUGACUCCAGAGCCCUCCUGUAUGACCUUCUGGUAUUUACUUUCUCAUUCUAGUCAGGCAUUCCUGAGAUCCUGAUAAGGAAUACAGAACUAAUAAGCCACCACCAACCGGAAGAGUUCGGGAAAGGUCUAAAGGAGACACCACGUGUCCGUCCACUUCCCAGAAUCCCUCUCGCUGGCAUCCAUCUUGGCUGAGUGAUGCAUGCACCACCAGGAAAGACUCUGAAUUAGAAUGAUUGGUCAAAGACCACCCAGAAACUAAUCCCAUCACCCUAAAACCCGACAUUGUGAGCCACGCGGCAGAGCAGUUCUCCUGGGUUCCCUGACCCUACUGCUCUCCAGGUGCCCUUUCCCAAUAAAAUCUCUUGCUU